Molecule: ribosomal RNA, 253 nt
Filed under: uncultured bacterium
Lineage: Bacteria
Description: partial 16S ribosomal RNA
Rfam family: Bacterial small subunit ribosomal RNA
Source: RNAcentral
UACGUAGGUGGCAAGCGUUGUCCGGAUUUACUGGGUGUAAAGGGCGUGCAGCCGGGCUGACAAGUCAGAUGUGAAAUCCCGCGGCUCAACCGCGGAACUGCAUUUGAAACUGUCAGUCUUGAGUACCGGAGAGGUCAUCGGAAUUCCUUGUGUAGCGGUGAAAUGCGUAGAUAUAAGGAAGAACACCAGUGGCGAAGGCGGAUGACUGGACGGCAACUGGCGGUGAGGCGCGAAAGCGUGGGGAGCAAACAGG